Molecule: ribosomal RNA, 254 nt
Filed under: uncultured bacterium
Lineage: Bacteria
Description: partial 16S ribosomal RNA
Rfam family: Bacterial small subunit ribosomal RNA
Source: RNAcentral
UACGGGGGGAGCAAGCGUUGUUCGGAUUUACUGGGCGUAAAGGGCGCGUAGGCGGCCACCGCAAGUCGGUUGUGAAAUCUCUGGGCUUAACCCAGAAAGGUCAACCGAUACUGCGGGGCUAGGGUGCAGAAGGGGCAACUGGAAUUCUCGGUGUAGCGGUGAAAUGCGUAGAUAUCGAGAGGAACACCUGCGGCGAAGGCGGGUUGCUGGGCUGACACUGACGCUCAUGCACGAAAGCGUGGGGAGCAAACAGG